CAAGCAGGCGCGUUGAACGGAUUAUGACGCUCAAGCGUUCCAAAUGACGCAACAAUACAGCUCCAGACCAGAGAAAGUUCAUGCGGAAGAUAUUCUUCAGUUCAACACUAAAACUGCGCGUUGACACGUGUGAUUUGAGGCUAGAGCUUGAGGACUCAACUCUGAAGACUGUUUCUGAAUUCACUGACCUG
Oncorhynchus keta (chum salmon) is the source of this 191-nucleotide long non-coding RNA. RefSeq lists it as uncharacterized. The record is from RefSeq and is a predicted model, not a curated record. The transcript has 2 exons. Lineage: Eukaryota; Metazoa; Chordata; Actinopteri; Salmoniformes; Salmonidae.